ACGCCGGUGUCGUGCCAAGGUACUUACCCCUGAAAGGAAGUGUAUCCCCGGUCGCGGGAGCGCGCACGCAUUCAGCAGGAGAUGACCUGACUGACAUAUGUCACUUCUGUGGAUCAGAAGGACCCAAGGAAGAUUUGAGCUGGAUUCAGUGUGACGUUUGUUUGCGGUGGUUCCACCAUAUGUGUGUUAAAAGCCCACCAACGGAGGAGGCCUUCCUGUGUACUGCUUGUACUCCUUAAUUUUGUGUACAUUAUUGUUCCGGAGGAAUUUAUUGAUUAAAUCUUGUUGUAUUAUUACACCUUCCAAGUAUGUGUCUUAUCAUCUUAAAAUUAUUAAAAACCAACAGACUGAUGCGGGACAUUAUCUCAAUAUGCGACGUGCGGUCCAGCACAAAGUGGGACGGGUGCUGCUCAAGAUGGAUGGCGGGGGUCUUAUCUUGCUUUCUUGGCGCCACAGGAAGUGGAGACGUUGAUAGUCCAUCAUCUGUGGAAUAUGGAGAGGGGGAUACCUUUUAUAGCAGGUCGAAAAUACGGUCUGAAAAAAUCUGUAUCCCACUAUAACUUUAGUCAGGAAAUAGGAAAUGUGUUCA
Pimephales promelas (fathead minnow) is the source of this 589-nucleotide non-coding RNA. Lineage: Eukaryota; Metazoa; Chordata; Actinopteri; Cypriniformes; Leuciscidae. The record is from RefSeq and is a predicted model, not a curated record.